Molecule: ribosomal RNA, 495 nt
Filed under: uncultured bacterium
Lineage: Bacteria
Description: partial 16S ribosomal RNA
Rfam family: Bacterial small subunit ribosomal RNA
Source: RNAcentral
GACGAACGCUGGCGGCGUGCCUAAUACAUGCAAGUAGAACGCUGAAGGAGGAGCUUGCUUCUCUGGAUGAGUUGCGAACGGGUGAGUAACGCGUAGGUAACCUGCCUGGUAGCGGGGGAUAACUAUUGGAAUCGAUAGCUAAUACCGCAUAAGAGUAGAUGUUGCAUGACAUUUGCUUAAAAGGUGCAAUUGCAUCACUACCAGAUGGACCUGCGUUGUAUUAGCUAGUUGGUGGGGUAACGGCUCACCAAGGCGACGAUACAUAGCCGACCUGAGAGGGUGAUCGGCCACACUGGGACUGAGACACGGCCCAGACUCCUACGGGAGGCAGCAGUAGGGAAUCUUCGGCAAUGGACGGAAGUCUGACCGAGCAACGCCGCGUGAGUGAAGAAGGUUUUCGGAUCGUAAAGCUCUGUUGUAAGAGAAGAACGAGUGUGAGAGUGGAAAGUUCACACUGUGACGGUAUCUUACCAGAAAGGGACGGCUAACUACGUG